UCUAUCUGCAGUCGAGCGGAUGAAAGGGAGCUUGCUCCCUGGAUUCAGCGGCGGACGGGUGAGUAACACGUGGGCAACCUGCCUGUAAGACUGGGAUAACUCCGGGAAACCGGGGCUAAUACCGGAUAACUUCUUUUCUCGCAUGGGGAGAGGUUGAAAGACGGUUAUGCUGUCACUUACAGAUGGGCCCGCGGCGCAUUAGCUAGUUGGUGGGGUAACGGCCUACCAAGGCGACGAUGCGUAGCCGACCUGAGAGGGUGAUCGGCCACACUGGGACUGAGACACGGCCCAGACUCCUACGGGAGGCAGCAGUAGGGAAUCUUCCGCAAUGGACGAAAGUCUGACGGAGCAACGCCGCGUGAGUGACGAAGGCCUUCGGGUCGUAAAACUCUGUUAUCAGGGAAGAAUAAGCAUUGGUUAACUGCCAGUGCCUUGACGGUACCUGACCAGAAAGCCACGGCUAACUACGUGCCAGCAGCCGCGGUAAUACGUAGGUGGCAAGCGUUGUCCGGAAUUAUUGGGCGUAAAGCGCGCGCAGGCGGCUUCUUAAGUCUGAUGUGAAAGCCCACGGCUCAACCGUGGAGGGUCAUUGGAAACUGGGAGGCUUGAGUGCAGAAGAGAAGAGCGGAAUUCCACGUGUAGCGGUGAAAUGCGUAGAGAUGUGGAGGAACACCAGUGGCGAAGGCGGCUCUUUGGUCUGUAACUGACGCUGAGGCGCGAAAGCGUGGGGAGAGAACAGGAUUAGAUACCCUGGUAUUCCACGCCGUAAACGAUGAGUGCUAAGUGUUAGGGGGUUUCCGCCCCUUAGUGCUGCAGCAAACGCAUUAAGCACUCCGCCUGGGGAGUACGGCCGCAAGGCUGAAACUCAAAGGAAUUGACGGGGGCCCGCACAAGCGGUGGAGCAUGUGGUUUAAUUCGAAGCAACGCGAGAACCUUACCAGGUCUUGACAUCCCGCUGACCGCUCUGGAGACAGAGUUUUCCCUUCGGGGA
This 991-nucleotide ribosomal RNA is filed under the name uncultured prokaryote. Its description in RNAcentral is "bacterial SSU rRNA". It matches the Rfam family "Bacterial small subunit ribosomal RNA", at positions 50 to 1026 of the family's 1533-position model. The record is from RNAcentral.